Molecule: ribosomal RNA, 496 nt
Filed under: uncultured bacterium
Lineage: Bacteria
Description: partial 16S ribosomal RNA
Rfam family: Bacterial small subunit ribosomal RNA
Source: RNAcentral
GAUGAACGCUGGCGGCGUGCCUAAUACAUGCAAGUCGAGCGAACGGACGAGAAGCUUGCUUCUCUGAUGUUAGCGGCGGACGGGUGAGUAACACGUGGAUAACCUACCUAUAAGACUGGGAUAACUUCGGGAAACCGGAGCUAGUACCGGAUAAUAUUUUGAACCGCAUGGUUCAAAAGUGAAAGACGGUCUUGCUGUCACUUAUAGAUGGAUCCGCGCUGCAUUAGCUAGUUGGUAAGGUAACGGCUUACCAAGGCAACGAUGCAUAGCCGACCUGAGAGGGUGACGGGCCCCACAGGGACUGAAACACGGUCCAGACUCCUAGGGAGGGCCGAGAGAGGGAAUCUUCCGAAAAGGGGGGAAGCCUGCGGGAGCACCGCCGGGGGAGUGAAGAAGGUCUGCGGAUCGUAAAACUCUUUUAUUAGGGAAAAACAUAUUUGUAAGUAACUGUGCACAUCUGGGCGGAACCUAUACAGAAAGCCCGGGCAAAUAACGG